Non-coding RNA from Phormidium sp. OSCR, 37 nucleotides. The record is from Rfam. Lineage: Bacteria; Bacillati; Cyanobacteriota; Cyanophyceae; Oscillatoriales; Oscillatoriaceae.
CCUGAAAUCCACUAAAAUCCCUUUGAGGGAUUGAAAC